AUGCCGCGUGAAUGAUGAAGGUCUUAGGAUUGUAAAAUUCUUUCACCGGGGACGAUAAUGACGGUACCCGGAGAAGAAGCCCCGGCUAACUUCGUGCCAGCAGCCGCGGUAA
This 112-nucleotide ribosomal RNA is filed under the name uncultured bacterium. RNAcentral's name for it is "partial 16S ribosomal RNA". It matches the Rfam family "Bacterial small subunit ribosomal RNA", at positions 394 to 523 of the family's 1533-position model. The record is from RNAcentral.